GAAAUUCUUUCCUGUUAGGGUGGUGAGGCACUGGAAUAGGUUACCCAAGGAGGUUGUGAAUGCUCCAUCGCUGGCAGCGUUGGACAAAGCCUUGGAUGGCAUGGUUUAGUGUGAGGUGUCCCUGCCCAUGACAGGGGGGUUGGACCUAGAUGAUCUUAAGGUCCUUUCCAACCCUAACUAUUCUAUGAUUCU
Long non-coding RNA from Neopsephotus bourkii (Bourke's parrot), 192 nucleotides. RefSeq lists it as uncharacterized. Lineage: Eukaryota; Metazoa; Chordata; Aves; Psittaciformes; Psittacidae. The record is from RefSeq and is a predicted model, not a curated record. The transcript is spliced from 2 exons.